This 186-nucleotide ribosomal RNA is filed under the name Staphylococcus capitis subsp. capitis. RNAcentral describes it as "partial 16S ribosomal RNA". It matches the Rfam family "Bacterial small subunit ribosomal RNA", at positions 1218 to 1397 of the family's 1533-position model. Lineage: Bacteria; Bacillati; Bacillota; Bacilli; Caryophanales; Staphylococcaceae. The record is from RNAcentral.
ACGUGGCUAACAAUGGGACAAUAACCAAAGGGUAGCGAAACCGCGAGGUCCAAGCAAAUCCCCAUAAAGUUGUUCUCAGGUUCGGAUUGUAGUCUGCAACUCGACUACAUGAAGCUGGAAUCGCUAGUAAUCGUAGAUCAGCAUGCUACGGUGAAUACGUUCCCCGGGUCUGUACACACCGCCCGU